CUGCCAGUAGUCAUAUGCUUGUCUCAAAGAUUAAGCCAUGCAUGUCUCAGUGCAAGCCACAUUAAGGUGAAACCGCGAAUGGCUCAUUAAAUCAGUUAUGGUUCCUUAGAUCGUACCCACGUUACUUGGAUAACUGUGGUAAUUCUAGAGCUAAUACAUGCAAACUGAGUCCCGACCAGAAAUGGAAGGGAUGCUUUUAUUAGAUCAAAACCAAUCGGUUCCGGCUCGUCCGGUCCGUUUGUCUUGGUGACUCUGAAUAACUUUGGGCUGAUCGCACGGUCAAAGCACCGGCGACGCAUCUUUCAAAUGUCUGCCUUAUCAACUGUCGAUGGUAGGUUCUGCGCCUACCAUGGUCGUAACGGGUAACGGGGAAUCAGGGUUCGAUUCCGGAGAGGGAGCCUGAGAAAUUGCUACCACAUCCAAGGAAGGCAGCAGGCGCGCAAAUUACCCACUCCCGGCACGGGGAGGUAGUGACGAAAAAUAACGAUACGGGACUCAUCCGAGGCCCCGUAAUCGGAAUGAGUACACUUUAAAUCCUUUAACGAGUAUCCAUUGGAGGGCAA
RNAcentral lists this ribosomal RNA (563 nucleotides) under Hadrogryllacris sp. MCJ-2002. Its description in RNAcentral is "SSU rRNA". It matches the Rfam family "Eukaryotic small subunit ribosomal RNA", at positions 14 to 558 of the family's 1831-position model. Lineage: Eukaryota; Metazoa; Arthropoda; Insecta; Orthoptera; Gryllacrididae. The record is from RNAcentral.